AUUGAACGCUGGCGGCAGGCCUAACACAUGCAAGUCGAGCGGAUGAGUGGAGCUUGCUCCAUGAUUCAGCGGCGGACGGGUGAGUAAUGCCUAGGAAUCUGCCUGGUAGUGGGGGACAACGUUUCGAAAGGAACGCUAAUACCGCAUACGUCCUACGGGAGAAAGCAGGGGACCUUCGGGCCUUGCGCUAUCAGAUGAGCCUAGGUCGGAUUAGCUAGUUGGUGAGGUAAAGGCUCACCAAGGCGACGAUCCGUAACUGGUCUGAGAGGAUGAUCAGUCACACUGGAACUGAGACACGGUCCAGACUCCUACGGGAGGCAGCAGUGGGGAAUAUUGGACAAUGGGCGAAAGCCUGAUCCAGCCAUGCCGCGUGUGUGAAGAAGGUCUUCGGAUUGUAAAGCACUUUAAGUUGGGAGGAAGGGCAGUAAGUUAAUACCUUGCUGUUUUGACGUUACCGACAGAAUAAGCACCGGCUAACUUCGUGCCAGCAGCCGCGGUAAUACGAAGGGUGCAAGCGUUAAUCGGAAUUACUGGGCGUAAAGCGCGCGUAGGUGGUUCAGCAAGUUGGAUGUGAAAGCCCCGGGCUCAACCUGGGAACUGCAUCCAAAACUACUGAGCUAGAGUACGGUAGAGGGUGGUGGAAUUUCCUGUGUAGCGGUGAAAUGCGUAGAUAUAGGAAGGCACACCAGUGGCGAAGGCGACCACCUGGACUGAUACUGA
This 720-nucleotide ribosomal RNA is filed under the name uncultured Pseudomonas sp. RNAcentral's name for it is "bacterial SSU rRNA". It matches the Rfam family "Bacterial small subunit ribosomal RNA", at positions 28 to 743 of the family's 1533-position model. Lineage: Bacteria; Pseudomonadati; Pseudomonadota; Gammaproteobacteria; Pseudomonadales; Pseudomonadaceae. The record is from RNAcentral.